Molecule: transfer RNA, 82 nt
Filed under: Candidatus Collierbacteria bacterium RIFOXYD1_FULL_40_9
Lineage: Bacteria; Candidatus Collieribacteriota
Also listed under: 1 other name
Description: tRNA-Leu
Rfam family: tRNA
About the family: Transfer RNA (tRNA) molecules are approximately 80 nucleotides in length. Their secondary structure includes four short double-helical elements and three loops (D, anti-codon, and T loops). Further hydrogen bonds mediate the characteristic L-shaped molecular structure. tRNAs have two regions of fundamental functional importance: the anti-codon, which is responsible for specific mRNA codon recognition, and the 3' end, to which the tRNAs corresponding amino acid is attached (by aminoacyl-tRNA synthetases). tRNAs cope with the degeneracy of the genetic code in two manners: having more than one tRNA (with a specific anti-codon) for a particular amino acid; and 'wobble' base-pairing, i.e. permitting non-standard base-pairing at the 3rd anti-codon position.
Source: RNAcentral
GGGCGGGUGGCGAAACUGGCAGACGCGUACGUCUCAGAAGCGUAUGAGGAAACUCUUGGGGGUUCAAGUCCCCCCCCGCCCA